Molecule: unclassified non-coding RNA, 438 nt
Filed under: uncultured Thelephoraceae
Lineage: Eukaryota; Fungi; Basidiomycota; Agaricomycetes; Thelephorales; Thelephoraceae
Description: sequence contains ITS2
Rfam family: 5.8S ribosomal RNA (bases 1-155)
Source: RNAcentral
AACUUUUGGCAAUGGAUCUCUUGGCUCUCGCAUCGAUGAAGAACGCAGCGAAAUGCGAUAAGUAAUCCGAAUUGCAGAAUUCAGUGAAUCAUCGAAUCUUUGAACGCACCUUGCGCCCCUUGGCCAUUCCGAGGGGCAUGCCUGUUUGAGUAUCAUGAACACCUCAACUCUCAUGGCUUGCUGUGAUGAGCUUGGACUUUGGGGGUUUUGCUGGCCUGUGGUCAGCUCCUCUUAAACAAAUCAGCUUGCUAGUGUUUGGCAGCAUUGUGGGUGUGAUAACUAUCUACGCCCAUGGUUGUUUGCCAGGUAACCUUCAGCAGUGGAGGUUCACUGGAGCUUAUAAAUGUCUCUCCUCAGUGUGAGACAGCAUUUUGAACGUUCGAUCUCAGAUCAGGUAGGACUACCCGCUGAACUUAAGCAUAUCAAUAAGCGGAGGCU